UCCACCCCCACCCUGAGCCCCUGCCGGCCUUACCAGAGCUCCCUGAGCAAGGAAGCAGUCACUGUCCUGCAAGGUCCUGGUCUGGGCCCAGGUCCAGCCGGCCUCGGGGGGUGGGGGGGCAGAGGACGCUGUGGACUCAGCAGCACGGAGGGCCGCAGGGUCGUGCGUGGCCUGAGCCUGCACCCUCAUGGCCAGUGUUCCCAGGCCGCGUGUUCAGUCAGCUCCCCUGGGCUCUGUGUGUGUGUGUGUGUGUGUGUGUGUGUGCGUGCGCGCGCACGUGCACUCGCGCACAUGCUCACAGGUGCCUGCACGCCCAGCCCCGGGCUGGGGUGAGGAUCCAGCAGCCAUCAGGACCGGACACAGGCAGGCCCAGCCCAGCAGCAGGGCCUCAAGGGCCCAUGGAGGGCCCAGCGCUGAUGGCCGAAGGGAGUGGGGGUCGGGGGCGAUGGGAAGCCGGCAUCAGGCUCUCGGUGCUCAUCUGUGUGGCUCUGCGGGUCAGAACUUCACCCCUCCUCCGGCCGAAGGGUGCAGGAUGGACAGUGGAAUUCAUUCCAUUUGGCCAAGAAGGGCCCGCUCCUCCCUGGGUGGACAUUUGCCUGCGCUCCUUACACUGAGCAUCGGAGCCCCCGGUGAGACCGGGUGAGUGGGACGCAGGGCCGCCCACGGGCACUUCUCUCCCGGCCGCCUCCCUGCGAUCCUCCGCCCCCACCUUCUUUCUACACAGCAGACCUUCAGGAUCUAUGAGACGAAAGCCGAGAGCUUACUAAGAGCUCAGAGCACCACUAAGGCAGAUGAGGGCAACGGCCCGGGUUCUGGGCUCUCUCGGUCACUACCAUGGAGACCGGUAUGUACCGACCUUGGUGUUGCAAAAUGCGCGUUCCGGGUCUGCCCAUGGUCGGCUGCCUCAGGGCCCGCACGGUCUGUUCCUCUGCCCGCCCUCCCCC
RNAcentral lists this long non-coding RNA (944 nucleotides) under Sus scrofa (pig). RNAcentral's name for it is "lncRNA (ENSSSCG00065026578.1)". The record is from RNAcentral. Lineage: Eukaryota; Metazoa; Chordata; Mammalia; Artiodactyla; Suidae.